Ctenopharyngodon idella (grass carp) is the source of this 1561-nucleotide long non-coding RNA. RefSeq lists it as uncharacterized. NCBI's taxonomy places the organism in Eukaryota, Metazoa, Chordata, Actinopteri, Cypriniformes, Xenocyprididae. The transcript is spliced from 2 exons. The record is from RefSeq and is a predicted model, not a curated record.
CCUCUUGAGAUCUGGGAAGAGAGGUUUAUACGCACAGCUCUUACUGGCCUACAUCCGUUACACUCCCCCCCCAAACCUCACUUCCAUCCGGGUCACGGCACCAAUGUAACCCCUCCUGUUUGAACUACCCGCUUUAAGCGGGACUCGAACCCAGGUCCACUGGCAUGGGAGUCAUACGCUCUAACAAGGAGACUAAAGAAUGCAUUCUCUAACAUCAGUCCACUCUUGAUAUCAGGGAAGUGAGGUUUACAUGCACAGCUCUUACUGGCCUAUAUCCAGUCCGGAGUAGUUUUGUAUUUCUCCAUCUUUUUAACUUGAUUAUGCUGUUCGUAAUGCUUCAUGGUAAUGUAGUUCUUUCCCUCACUAAAGCCCUUAAAUUCACAGUCUUGUAUCUUUGUAUCAAAUACUUUUUUGCUUCCAAUCAAAGUUUGUAAUGCUGUGAUUAGCCUCGUAGCUGAUUGGCUUGGUUCAAGGCUUAUAACGUUUUAACGAAGACUUUUUUUUUAAAAUCCCUAUGGGAGAAAUGAAUGAAAUAAAUAUUUCCAGAACCAACUCUGCUGAAAAAGUGGACGGGUGCUGUUGCGCUCUAUAGCAGCUGCAUAACAAUGCACUCAAAACUGUUUUGAACACCAUUGUAUGAUUGUAGUGGCGAGCUUUGCGCUUGUCUUUAUGGGAUUUUGUUUCUGGCUUCCAAACCGAUGUGAUGAUCAAUAUCUCCCUCUCACUGCAGGACUCGGUUAUGUAACGCACUGGAUGCUCCAUUUGCCAACAGGCUCUUACAGUCUGAUUAUGAAUCAUCCCUUGGACUCCAUUUCAAACACAACAAGUGUCUUGCUGUUUUUCUGUUUCAUCCUCCAUUUGGUCUUUUUUUUCCCUCAGCGUUUCACCUUCAAACUCUUUAAUCUCACUGUUUCUCCUUGUGUAGCCUACUGUACGUCCUUUACCCCAACGCCUUUCUCUCUCUCUCGGCAAAGAUUAGCUCUUUUUUAAGGUUAAAUUUUAUAAAAAGCGUGUUAAGUUUCGGUCACACCACGCUCUGACUGGCCAGAUGCUUCCCAUUGUGACGUACGGUUACCCGUCCAAUCAUGUCGAUGGGCUCCUGUGGCCACUUUCCCGCGGCCAGAGACGACAUUGAGGUGUGUGUGAGUUUAAGCGUAUAUAAAUAGACAUUGACCUCCUGUCUAAAAUCAGCAGUCAGGAAGUCAUUAUGCAAGAGCGUGUGUGUGUGUUCAUUUUGGGGUCGGAGUGUGUUAAACAUGCAUUUGUCUCUCUGCUGUUACACUCUUAAUUAGAGCGGUUCAUGGGCCUCCAAAGGUUUCGGUUCUGGAAAUGACACUCGCUGGGGACGUGAAGUGUCAGUCAGCGUUUAAUUAGACUGUUCAUUCCCUUGAUAAUGAAAUGUACGCGUGUGUGUGGGCGCUCAGACACAUUACAGGUAUAACCUUACGCUUUCAUUUUCUUUUGUAUGUCUUUCUUAUGAAUAUCGGACUUCUGCUUAUUUUAAUAUCAAAGUGAUUGUUUUUGCAUCUUGCUUGGGUUCUAAAUAAAAUCGAUUAAAGUU